CUAGGAAUCUCUAGAUCCCCCAGUGUGAUUCUAUGGUCAAUUUUUCUAUAGUCAUGCUGGAGGACCUCGAGAUUUCUAG
This is a microRNA precursor of Anolis carolinensis (green anole), 79 nucleotides long. It matches the Rfam family "mir-5429 microRNA precursor family". The record is from Rfam. Lineage: Eukaryota; Metazoa; Chordata; Lepidosauria; Squamata; Anolidae.